GGAGGAGUGGCCGAGUCCGGUUUAAGGCGGCGGUCUUGAAAACCGUUGCGGCGCAAGCUGCCGUGGGUUCAAAUCCUACCUCCUCCG
RNAcentral lists this transfer RNA (87 nucleotides) under Deferribacteraceae bacterium. Its description in RNAcentral is "tRNA-Ser". It matches the Rfam family "tRNA". Rfam says of the family: Transfer RNA (tRNA) molecules are approximately 80 nucleotides in length. Lineage: Bacteria; Pseudomonadati; Deferribacterota; Deferribacteres; Deferribacterales; Deferribacteraceae. The record is from RNAcentral.